This 460-nucleotide ribosomal RNA is filed under the name uncultured bacterium. RNAcentral describes it as "partial 16S ribosomal RNA". It matches the Rfam family "Bacterial small subunit ribosomal RNA", at positions 338 to 795 of the family's 1533-position model. The record is from RNAcentral.
CCUACGGGAGGCAGCAGUGAGGAAUAUUGGUCAAUGGGCGAGAGCCUGAACCAGCCAAGUCGCGUGAGGGAAGACGGUCCUAUGGAUUGUAAACCUCUUUUGUCGGGGAGCAAAAAGGCCUCGUGAGGCCACAAGUGAGAGUACCCGAAGAAAAAGCAUCGGCUAACUCCGUGCCAGCAGCCGCGGUAAUACGGAGGAUGCGAGCGUUAUCUGGAUUUAAUGGGUUAAAAGGGUGCGUAGGCGGACUGGAAAGUCAGCGGUAAAAGCGAGAGGCUCAACCUCUUUCCGCCGUUGAAACUGUCUGUCUUGAGUGGGCGAGAAGUAUGCGGAAUGCGUGGUGUAGCGGUGAAAUGCAUAGAUAUCACGCAGAACUCCGAUUGCGAAGGCAGCAUACCGGCGCCCGACUGACGCUGAGGCACGAAAGCGUGGGUAUCGAACAGGAUUAGAUACCCGGGUAGUC